AGUGGUGCUGUGAAUGGUUCUGGAGUCAACGCUCCAAGCCGUUCGGUGGCUCAUUAAUUCUCUAGAUGGAGUUUUCUAUUAAAGGACGUGUUUCUGAAGGGGAUCCAUCCCGAGGAGGCGGCUAAGUUGCCAGUAGUUUUCCAAGACAGCCGAAGGGCUGUGACUUUGGCAACACCCGCUGCCUGCAGUGUGCUCAGACUCUGAGGUUGGAAAUGGAGAACACAUCUUAGAGUUCCAUGCACAAGAUUCCCGUUUCCAGACUCACUGUCUGGCUGUCCUCAGAGCACUGUUGCCCAUUGCAGUGAGCAGAAGGGAGUGCUGGUUGGGUGCUGCUCUGACCAUGUAGUGCCACUGGUGUCCCUACAGCUGCAUGGCAGAGCACUGCAUCAGCCUUGCUCACAGCUGGGAGGAGGACAGCCUCACCAGCAGCCUGAGAAGGAGUGAGGAGAAGGGAAGUUUUGUGCUCUUCACAUUGAAGGCAAAACUUCUUUGCAUAAACUCUGCUAACAGAAUCUGGCUUGCAAAACUUGAAAUGUGA
RNAcentral lists this long non-coding RNA (538 nucleotides) under Cyanistes caeruleus (blue tit). RNAcentral's name for it is "lncRNA (ENSCCEG00000018166.1)". The record is from RNAcentral. Lineage: Eukaryota; Metazoa; Chordata; Aves; Passeriformes; Paridae.